CUGGUCUUGAAUUUUCGAGACUUUGUUAAGGCCAGCAUCGAUUCCAUUAUUUAAUGGCAUUUAUGGCGAUUCUUCUAAGAUUAAGGUCAAAAUGGGUAUCCGCUCCUUUUCAUCUUCCGAGAUACCUGAGCAUACAGUGCUUCAAAUGCCAGCUUUGUCACCUACAAUGAGUCAAGGUAAUAUUGUGAAGUGGCUGAAGAAAGAGGGAGAUAAGGUCAGUUACAAUUACUGUGUCAUUCAGAUUUUCUUGACACAGAGCAUUGUCACUUGCUAUGCACACAUUUAAUGAUUAAAUACUAUGAAAGUUUUAGUGCAGAAAUAUGUACUCCCUCCGUCCCACUGAAGAUGA
Non-coding RNA from Salvia hispanica, 349 nucleotides. The record is from RefSeq and is a predicted model, not a curated record. NCBI's taxonomy places the organism in Eukaryota, Viridiplantae, Streptophyta, Magnoliopsida, Lamiales, Lamiaceae.